RNAcentral lists this non-coding RNA (31 nucleotides) under Homo sapiens (human). The record is from RNAcentral. Lineage: Eukaryota; Metazoa; Chordata; Mammalia; Primates; Hominidae.
UGCUGUCCUUGGCUACAGAAGUGCCCUGAGC